Molecule: ribosomal RNA, 279 nt
Filed under: Burkholderia sp. Amy-11
Lineage: Bacteria; Pseudomonadati; Pseudomonadota; Betaproteobacteria; Burkholderiales; Burkholderiaceae
Also listed under: 3 other names
Description: partial 16S rRNA
Rfam family: Bacterial small subunit ribosomal RNA
Source: RNAcentral
AUUGAACGCUGGCGGCAUGCCUUACACAUGCAAGUCGGACGGCAGCGCGGGGGCAACCCUGGCGGCGAGUGGCGAACGGGUGAGUAAUACAUCGGAACGUGUCCUGGAGUGGGGGAUAGCCCGGCGAAAGCCGGAUUAAUACCGCAUACGCUCUGUGGAGGAAAGCGGGGGAUCUUCGGACCUCGCGCUCAAGGGGCGGCCGAUGGCAGAUUAGCUAGUUGGUGGGGUAAAGGCCUACCAAGGCGACGAUCUGUAGCUGGUCUGAGAGGACGACCAGCC